Molecule: ribosomal RNA, 350 nt
Filed under: Brevibacillus invocatus
Lineage: Bacteria; Bacillati; Bacillota; Bacilli; Caryophanales; Paenibacillaceae
Description: bacterial SSU rRNA
Rfam family: Bacterial small subunit ribosomal RNA
Source: RNAcentral
CGGAUAUAUGUCCCNUUAUGACCUGGGCUACACACGUGCUAAAUGGUUGGUACAACGGGAUGCUACCUCGCGAGAGGAUGCCAAUCUCUUAAAACCAAUCUCAGUUCGGAUUGUAGGCUGCAACUCGCCUACAUGAAGUCGGAAUCGCUAGUAAUCGCGGAUCAGCAUGCCGCGGUGAAUACGUUCCCGGGCCUUGUACACACCGCCCGUCACACCACGGGAGUUUGCAACACCCGAAGUCGGUGAGGUAACCGCAAGGAGCCAGCCGCCGAAGGUGGGGUAGAUGACUGGGGUGAAGUCGUAACAAGGUAUCCGUACCGGAAGGUGCGGUUGGAUCACACUCCUACAGU